This 164-nucleotide ribosomal RNA is filed under the name uncultured bacterium. RNAcentral's name for it is "partial 16S ribosomal RNA". It matches the Rfam family "Bacterial small subunit ribosomal RNA", at positions 355 to 511 of the family's 1533-position model. The record is from RNAcentral.
UAGGGAAUCUUCCACAAUGGACGAAAGUCUGAUGGAGCAACGCCGCGUGAGUGAAGAAGGGUUUCGGCUCGUAAAACUCUGUUGUUAAAGAAGAACAUAUCUGAGAGUAACUGUUCAAGUAUUGACGGUAUUUAACCAGAAAGCCACGGCUAACUACGUGCCAG